AGCAGCCGCGGUAAUUCCAGCUCCAAUAGCGUAUAUUAAAGUUGUUGCAGUUAAAAAGCUCGUAGUUGAAUUUCGGGGUUAGUAGGUUGGUCAUGCCUCUGGUAUGUACUGGUCUCACUGAUUCCUCCUUCCUGAUGAACCUUAAUGCCAUUAAUUUGGUGUUUUGGGGAAUUUGGACUGUUACUUUGAAAAAAUUAGAGUGUUUAAAGCGAGCUAACGCUUGAAUACAUUAGCAUGGAAUAAUGAAAUAGGACGUUCGAUCCUAUUUUGUUGGUUUCUAGGAUUGACGUAAUGAUUAAUAGGGAUAGUUGGGGGCAUUAGUAUUCAAUUGUCAGAGGUGAAAUUCUUGGAUUUAUUGAAGACUAACUACUGCGAAAGCAUUUGCCAAGGAUGUUUUCAUUAAUCAAGAACGAAAGUUAGGGGAUCGAAGACGAUCAGAUACCGUCGUAGUCUUAACCAUAAACUAUGCCGACUAGGGAUCGGAUGAUGUUAAUUUUUUAAUGACUCAUUCGGCGCCUUA
Molecule: unclassified non-coding RNA, 520 nt
Filed under: uncultured Glomus
Lineage: Eukaryota; Fungi; Glomeromycota; Glomeromycetes; Glomerales; Glomeraceae
Description: SSU rRNA
Rfam family: Eukaryotic small subunit ribosomal RNA
Source: RNAcentral